Long non-coding RNA from Solea solea (common sole), 562 nucleotides. RefSeq lists it as uncharacterized. The transcript has 3 exons. NCBI's taxonomy places the organism in Eukaryota, Metazoa, Chordata, Actinopteri, Pleuronectiformes, Soleidae. The record is from RefSeq and is a predicted model, not a curated record.
GUUCCGGUAAAAUGUGGUGAAGCGUGAAACCAACAGUCUGUUCUAUGGCCGCCAGCCCAGCACUACAGGCAGCAGCAGCAGGAAUGUGAGACUGAGGUCAGGAAUCAGUCCUGGAGAGCUGGUGUGAGAGACAAGCACCUGUGGUUCACUUUUACUGGGAGAGCAAAACCCUCAGCCUGACAAAUGGAGUUUGGGAACCCCUGCUCUGGACGACGCACAUUAGUCAAAGUGAAACCUUGCAGCAGAAACAGAUGAACGGAUGCUUGAAUGCGUGUCAUAUAGAGGUGAGAUGCAGGAUAUUUGUGGUCAGACCUGCAAGAACACGACACAAUCAUCGCUGUGGCUGAAGAGUAAAGGACGCGGCCUGGUUCACAACAGAGGAGCAACCAUCAACAAAAAGAGCCAGUAAUUGGUGAUGUGACACACACACACACACACACGGUGGUGCAGCCUCAGGGGAGAGCGGCGGAAACUAAAGCUGUGACCCAAUUAACGUCCUCUGGUGUGGUUUUUUAUUUCACCUGAACUUUCUUGGCAAAUUAAAGUGCUGAUCCUCUGGGAU